GUUACACAUUGUCUCUCAGUAACACGGUUACACAUUGUCUCUCAGUAACACAGUUACACAUUGUCUCUCAGUAACACGGUUACACAUUGUCUCUCAGUAACACAGUUACACAUUGUCUCUCAGUAACACGGUUACACAUUGUCUCUCAGUAACACAGUUACACAUUGUCUCUCAGUAACACAGGUACACAUUGUCUCUCAGUAACACGGUUACACAUUGUCUCUCAGUAACACGGUUACACAUUGUCUCUCAGUAACACGGUUACACAUUGUCUCUCAGUAACACAGUUACAGAGCAUCCGGAAAGUUUUCAGACCCCUUGACCUUUUCCACACUUCGUUACGUCACAGCCUUUUAUUAUGAAAUAGAUUAAAUCGUUAUUUUCAAUCAUUAAUCGACACACAAUACCCCAUAAUGACAUCACAAUACCCCAUAAUGACAUCACAAUACCCCAUAAUGACAUCACAAUACCCCAUAAUGACAAAGCAAAAAACUUUUUUUUAGAAAUGUUUGCAAAUGUAUUACAAAUAAAAAGCUAAUAUCACAUUUACAUCAGUAUUCAGAAGCUUUACUCAGUACUUUGUUGAAGCACGUUUGGCAGCGAUUACAGCCAUUAGUCUUCUUGUGUAUGACGCUACAAUCUUGGCACACUUGUAUUUGGGGAGUUUCUCCCAUUCUUCUCUGCAGAUCCUCUCAAGCUCUGUCAGGUUGGAUGGGGAGCAUCGCUGCACAGCUAUUUUCAGGUCUCUCCAGAGAUGUUAAAGUCCAGGCUCUGGCUGGGCCACUCAAUGACAUUCAAUGACAUUCAGAGACUUGUCACAAAGCCACUCCUGCAUUGUCUUGGCUGUGUGCUUAUGGGCAUUAUCCUGUUGGAAGAUGAACCUUCGCCCCAGUCUGAGGUCCAGAGCGCUCUGGAGCAGGUUUUCAUCAAGGAUCUCUCUGUACUUUGCUCCGUUCAUCUUUGCCUCGAUCCUGACUAGUCUCUCAGUACCUGCUGCAGAAAAACAUCCCCACAGCAUGAUGCUGCCACCACCAUGCUUCACCGUAGGGAUGGUGCCAGGUUCCCUCCAGACAUGAUGCUGCCACCACCAUGCUUCACCGUAGGGAUGGUGCCAGGUUUCCUCCAGACAUGAUGCUUGGAAUUCAGGCCAAAGAGUUCAAUCUUGGUUUCAUCAGACCAGAGAAUCUUGUUUCUCAUGGUCUGAGAGUCCUUAGGUGCCUUUUGGCAAAGUCCAAACGGGCUGUCAUGUGCCUUUUACUGAGGAGUGGCUUCCGUCUGGCCACUCUACCAUAAAGGCCUGAUUUGCUGGAGUGCUGCAGAGAUGGUUGUCCUUCUGGAAGGUUCUCCCAUCUCCACAGAGGAACUCUGGAGCUCUGUCAGAGUGACCAUCAGGUUCUUGGUCACCUCCCUGACCAAGGCCCUUCUCCCCCGAUUGCUCAGUUUGGCUGGGCGGCUCUAGGAAGAGCCUUGGUGGUUCCAAACGUCCUCCAUUUAAGAAUGAUGGAGGUCCCUGUGUUCUUGGGGACAUUUAAUGCUACAGACAUAUUUUGGUACCCUUCCCCAGAUCUGUGCCUCGACACAAUCCUGUCUCGUAGCUCUACGGACAAUUCCUUUGACCUCAUGGCUUGGUUUUGCCCUGACAUCUGUGGGACCUUUAUAUAAACAGGUUUGGGCCUUUCCAAAUCAUGUCAAAUCAAUGUAAUUUACCACUGGUGGACUCCAUCAAGUUGUAGAAACAUCUCAAGGAAGAUCAAUGGGAACAGGAUGAACCUGAGCUCAAUUUCGAGUCUCAUAACAAAGGGUCUGAAUACGUAUGUAAAUAAGAUAUUUCUAUAGUUUAUUUGUAAUAAAUGUGCAAACAAUUUCAAACCUGU
Long non-coding RNA from Oncorhynchus tshawytscha (Chinook salmon), 1874 nucleotides. The record is from Ensembl. NCBI's taxonomy places the organism in Eukaryota, Metazoa, Chordata, Actinopteri, Salmoniformes, Salmonidae.